This 440-nucleotide ribosomal RNA is filed under the name uncultured bacterium. RNAcentral describes it as "partial 16S ribosomal RNA". It matches the Rfam family "Bacterial small subunit ribosomal RNA", at positions 338 to 795 of the family's 1533-position model. The record is from RNAcentral.
CCUACGGGAGGCUGCAGUGGGGAAUAUUGGACAAUGGGGGGAACCCUGAUCCAGCGACGCCGCGUGAGUGAAGAAGUAUUUCGGUAUGUAAAGCUCUAUCAGCAGGGAAGAAAAUGACAGUACCUGACCAAGAAGCCCCGGCUAACUACGUGCCAGCAGCCGCGGUAAUACGUAGGGGGCAAGCGUUAUCCGGAUUUACUGGGUGUAAAGGGAGCGUAGACGGUUAUGUAAGUCUGGAGUGAAAGCCCGGGGCCCAACCCCCGGACUGCUUUGGAAACUGUAUGGCUGGAGUGCAGGAGAGGUAAGUGGAAUUACUAGUGUAGCGGUGAAAUGCGUAGAUAUUAGGAGGAACACCAGUGGCGAAGGCGGCUUACUGGACUGUAACUGACGUUGAGGCUCGAAAGCGUGGGGAGCAAACAGGAUUAGAUACCCUUGUAGUC